CAGUUUCCUGUCUGGUACCUGCAUAAGAAAAAUGAAUUUUUAAAAUAAUUGGUGAUUUUAAUGUAUUCAUCUUUUGCGUUAUAAAACUCUACUCUGGAAGAUACUCUUUAGACAUUCCAGAUAUUGGAAUUUUAUUACAGUAAAAUUUCCAAAAUAAUUUUGGAGACUAACAUGGACUUACUUUCUUCUUUCUUCCUCUUUUUUCUUUCUUUCUUUUUCUUUCUCUUUUUCUUUUCUUUCUUUUUCUUUCUUUCCUUCUUUCUUUCUCUCUCCCUCCUUCUUCUCUCCUUCUUUCCUCUCUCUCCUUCCUUCCUCUCUCUCCUUCUUUCCUCUCUCUGUCUCCUUCCUUCCCUCCUUCCUUCCUCUCUCUCCUUCUUCCCUCUCUCUGUCUCCUUCCUUCGUUCCUUCCUUCCUUCCUUCCUUCCUUCCUUUUUCUUUCUUUUCUUUCUUGACAGAGUCUCACUCUGUCACCCAGGUGGAAGUACAGUGGUGCACUCUCGGCUUGCUUCCCAGGCUCAAGUGAUUCUCAUGCCUCAGCCGCCCAACUACCUGGGACUACAGGCGUGCGCCACCAUGCCUGGAUAAUUUUUGUAUUUUUUAGUAGAGACGGGGUUUCACCAUGUUGGCCAGGCUGUUCUCGAACUCCUGACCUCAGGUGCUAGGAUUAUAGGCGUGAGCCACCACGCCCGGACUAACAUGGAGUUUUUUAACUUUUGUUUUUGCCAAGGUAUCACCAGUCUGUGGGUACAAAAGGAGAGUAACAUGAACGAUUCAAAUUCCACUGGCUCUUGUUCCCAUGGAUUCACAGAAGUUCAGCCCCAUUUCAAAACUUCACAUUUGCUUCUGGGAAGCCCAUUCUGGAAAGUUUCUCUGUGGCCCUCUCCAGAAGGCAGCGCGACUUCCACCCAGCAACACAAGUCUCUGCAGCACCUGCCCCAGCAGCGCCAGCUGAGCCCCGGAAGCUGGGAAGGCUUAAGCUGACUCUUCUGCUGCACAUAGCAAAAAAUGGUCAUUUCUGUAGUUGCAGCUCCAGAUCUACAAUAAUCAAUCUAUAUCCAUAUUUUAUGGGGUUUUUUUGAGACAAAGUCUUGCUCUGUUACUCAGGCUGGAGUGCAGUGGCAUUAUCAUCAUUCACUUGUAGCCUUGACCUCCCUGGCUCAGGUGAUCCUGUCACCUCAGCCUUCCAAGUAGCUGAGACCACAGGCAUGCACCACUAAGCCUGGCUAAUUUUUCAAUUUUUAUUUUUCGUAGAGACAGGGUCUCCCUGGGUUGCCCAAACUGGUCUUGAAUUCCUGGGCUCAAGCAAUCCUCCUGUCCCGGCACCCCGAAGUGUUGGGACUACAGGCAUGAGCCACUGUGCACAGCCC
Molecule: long non-coding RNA, 1367 nt
Filed under: Homo sapiens (human)
Lineage: Eukaryota; Metazoa; Chordata; Mammalia; Primates; Hominidae
Description: HSALNT0341675
Source: RNAcentral